AUUGAACGCUGGCGGCAGGCCUAACACAUGCAAGUCGAGCGGUAGAGAGGUGCUUGCAUCUCUUGAGAGCGGCGGACGGGUGAGUAAUGCCUAGGAAUCUGCCUAGUGGUGGGGGAUAACGUUCGGAAACGGACGCUAAUACCGCAUACGUCCUACGGGAGAAAGCGGGGGAUCUUCGGACCUCGCGCCAUUAGAUGAGCCUAGGUCGGAUUAGCUAGUUGGUGAGGUAAUGGCUCACCAAGGCGACGAUCCGUAACUGGUCUGAGAGGAUGAUCAGUCACACUGGAACUGAGACACGGUCCAGACUCCUACGGGAGGUAGCAGUGGGGAAUAUUGGACAAUGGGCGAAAGCCUGAUCCAGCCAUGCCGCGUGUGUGAAGAAGGUCUUCGGAUUGUAAAGCACUUUAAGUUGGGAGGAAGGGUAGUAACCUAAUACGUUGCUACUUUGACGUUACCGACAGAAUAAGCACCGGCUAACUUCGUGCCAGCAGCCGACGG
RNAcentral lists this ribosomal RNA (498 nucleotides) under uncultured bacterium. RNAcentral describes it as "bacterial SSU rRNA". It matches the Rfam family "Bacterial small subunit ribosomal RNA", at positions 30 to 520 of the family's 1533-position model. The record is from RNAcentral.